GGGGACGUGGCGGAAUUGGUAGACGCACUGGAUUUAGGUUCCAGCGCCGCAAGGUGUGAGAGUUCGAGUCUCUCCGUCCCCA
RNAcentral lists this transfer RNA (82 nucleotides) under Moraxella catarrhalis. RNAcentral describes it as "tRNA-Leu". It matches the Rfam family "tRNA". Rfam says of the family: Transfer RNA (tRNA) molecules are approximately 80 nucleotides in length. Their secondary structure includes four short double-helical elements and three loops (D, anti-codon, and T loops). Further hydrogen bonds mediate the characteristic L-shaped molecular structure. tRNAs have two regions of fundamental functional importance: the anti-codon, which is responsible for specific mRNA codon recognition, and the 3' end, to which the tRNAs corresponding amino acid is attached (by aminoacyl-tRNA synthetases). tRNAs cope with the degeneracy of the genetic code in two manners: having more than one tRNA (with a specific anti-codon) for a particular amino acid; and 'wobble' base-pairing, i.e. permitting non-standard base-pairing at the 3rd anti-codon position. RNAcentral also lists the same sequence under 1 other name. Lineage: Bacteria; Pseudomonadati; Pseudomonadota; Gammaproteobacteria; Moraxellales; Moraxellaceae. The record is from RNAcentral.